Molecule: long non-coding RNA, 410 nt
Organism: Toxorhynchites rutilus septentrionalis
Lineage: Eukaryota; Metazoa; Arthropoda; Insecta; Diptera; Culicidae
Exons: 3
Source: RefSeq, a predicted model, not a curated record
UUCGGUAUGAAUACAAAAUAGUUAACAUCGUUAACUAUUACGUAAUUCCGGUUCCAAUGAAUGUCUCGCUGAUCUGAGGAUCUUGAGAUAUGCUUGCCAUUCCGACUUCGAAAGUGAAAAAGGCAGGAGCGGAUUAGUUUGUUCUGGUGUCGCGAGUUGAAAUCCGAAGAAUAGCAAUUAAAUUUAGUCCAGUAGUUGUUUUCCGUGAAUUUAACUCUCCGCUUGUGUCCCCAUUGAGCGGAACUGAAGGAAAAAGCCGCUUCUGACCCACGAUCGGAGAUUGGAUUUCCGCCACCUUGUCCGUCAAUUCUAGUGGCCGCGCGGAGCGCAAACCAUCACUCGCGCAUCCAGGGAAGGCGCAUCACGACACAUCUACAAGUCGAACGCGCACUCAACGUCGACGGAUCACC